This 383-nucleotide ribosomal RNA is filed under the name uncultured eukaryote. RNAcentral describes it as "partial 18S ribosomal RNA". It matches the Rfam family "Eukaryotic small subunit ribosomal RNA", at positions 592 to 976 of the family's 1831-position model. The record is from RNAcentral.
CAAUAGUGUAUAUUAAAGUUGUUGCAGUUAAAAAGCUCGUAGUUGGAUUUCUGGUGGGAGCGAUCGGUCUGGCGCUUAGCGCGAGUACUUGCAUCGUCUCCGGCCAUCCUUGGGGAGAGUCUGUCUGGCAUUAGGUUGUCGGGCAGAGGAUCCUCAUCGUUUACUGUGAAAAAAUUAGAGUGUUCAAAGCAGGCUUAUGCCGUUGAAUAUAUUAGCAUGGAAUAAUAAGAUAGGACUUUGGUACUAUUUUGUUGGUUUGCGCACCAAAGUAAUGAUUAAUAGGGACAGUUGGGGGUAUUCGUAUUCCGUUGUCAGAGGUGAAAUUCUUGGAUUUACGGAAGACGAACUACUGCGAAAGCAUUCACCAAGGAUGUUUUCAUUAA